RNAcentral lists this ribosomal RNA (253 nucleotides) under uncultured bacterium. Its description in RNAcentral is "partial 16S ribosomal RNA". It matches the Rfam family "Bacterial small subunit ribosomal RNA", at positions 524 to 776 of the family's 1533-position model. The record is from RNAcentral.
UACGAAGGGGGCUAGCGUUGCUCGGAAUCACUGGGCGUAAAGGGUGCGUAGGCGGGUCUUUAAGUCAGGGGUGAAAUCCUGGAGCUCAACUCCAGAACUGCCUUUGAUACUGAGGAUCUUGAGUUCGGGAGAGGUGAGUGGAACUGCGAGUGUAGAGGUGAAAUUCGUAGAUAUUCGCAAGAACACCAGUGGCGAAGGCGGGUCUCUGGGCCGAAACUGACGCUGAGGAGCGAAAGCGUGGGGAGCAAACAGG